GCACUGCUGAGGAAUCCGAAAUAGGAUGAAACGGCCGUCCAGUGC
Molecule: non-coding RNA, 45 nt
Filed under: Schistosoma mansoni
Lineage: Eukaryota; Metazoa; Platyhelminthes; Trematoda; Strigeidida; Schistosomatidae
Source: RNAcentral